UCUCCACCGGCCUCCUCUGCCCGAGCUCCUCCUCGACCCGGUCAAUUCCCUGCUAUACUUUCGCGAGCUCGGCGCGACUUGCGGGGACUGGGCUUCGAGCGGAGGCGGCAUAGAACUGCAACCCGCGUCGUUGUUGGCCAGAUCUUGGCCGGGGCAAACUGCUGGCAAGAUACAACAUGGUCGCAGACAUCCGUGUGAGCGGCGGCCAGGGGCAAGGGGGAGCAGUAGCGCUGGAGGAGAGCACCUGGGGAGGAACGGCGCCAACGAGGAGGCGCGACAGGUUCAGGUGGAGCCCGCUCUGCAUCGACCGCUAAUGGAGCUGCGACGCCGCGCGGAUCAUGGACUCACCUACCUAACAUUUUCCUGGCGUGAGCUUUUCCCAGUCUCCACCGCCCCCUGGACGAGUUUCUUCAUGACCAGCAGCCGGCCCCGGUUCCAUUCCUCCUCCGACGUCGUCGCGCCAGCGCACUCCGGCACGAGCGUCCUCGGUACCCGGCGGAGGAACAGGCGAUGCAGGCAGCCAUGGAGCGCCCCGCGUCGAGAGCCGGGGAUGGAUUUGUUGGAGCAGGAGGAGGGACAAGAAGAGGCAUGGCACGACUGGCGGACGAGGCCUCGAUCGACACCGGAAAGCCCCUUUCCCCUCCCGACGAGCCUCUUCAACGUAGAGAAGAAGGGGACCAAAUAGCCUGUGUCACCGCAGAUCCGGCGAAAUCAGCGAGGGAGGGGCCUUCGACAUCUGCUGCCGCUGGACGCAUCUUCUCCACCAAAGUCAGAGAGGCGUUAGUCAUCAGCGAUGCAAGGGUACCUCCUUGGACAUUGCUGAUAAUUUCCACAGUUGUGCAUCUGCCUCCUCCUUGCACCACCAGAGCAUACGCGAGCACCUGAGUCGGGGCCAGUGCUUUUUGGGCAUUAGAUCUCUAUUAUGUAUGCUGGCAGUGAAUUCUGAAUCCCCUCUCUUCCAUCUCCAAAUAGACUAUUGGGGGUCUCUUUUAUACAUUCAAUCGCAACUGGCUAGCUCCGGGUCUGCCAAUUUAUUUCUCCCCAAUUGAUUCUACCGUUAUUUUUGAUAGCUAUGUACCACACAGACAUACAUCAUUUUUGAUAGAUUUUUACAAGACAUUAGUGGUAUAUCUUAUAGCCAGCCUUAUUUCCAUGGUUUUUUUAAAGCUCUAUCGGUGCCUAUCUAUUUCCCUUUACCGGUGUCUGGCCUGCUAUUUGUUACAGACAUGGAAAUGCAUCCUACAAAGAUAUUACAGUAUAUACUAAUGUCAUUCCUGUCUCUUGAAUCCUUUCAGGUCUGGAUUAUUUUGGAAAUUAUGUACUUCCGUAACUGAGCCGACUCCUUUGUCUAGAGUUCAGUUUGAAGCUUAUUUGGAAGUGGCCUUCAUUGUCAAUGCACCCUGAAUGGAGCAAAAUUAGAAAUGCAAUAGUUGCUCUUCUUACUUUAUUUAUUGUGCUCAUGAUUUAUUUUUCCUUGGUCGAUGCUGCUUGCGUCUUUGAUUUUGGGGGCCAACCUACCGACUCCCUACCCUGAGAACGUCGUUGGUGGUGCAUGGCUUUUGGGUAUGGCGCUGGCGAGAGAUACCCACGGAAAUUGGAGAUUUCCUCAUGAAUCUUGAUUUAGCAUGGAUUGAUUUCCGUGUCCAGUUCACCGGUGUACUGCUAUUAUGGAUGGCUGGGUGAAGUGUCCGUUUUUCUAUUUAAAUGACGGUACUGCAAUAUUCAAGCAACUCUUUUAAAUGCAAGUGCCUUUUUUGUCUCUCUGACAUGCUCACUCUAUUUUUUGUGCAACACAUGGAUGUAUUGGUCUUAGAUACUUAUGCCCCGUAACAUAUUUUUCCGUGUAAACCUGGCAUUAUACUCAAAUGAUCCCUUUCUUCCAAGUACUAUUGUGAUCCGUUUCUGCAGCUGUGGUUGAAAUUUUGAAGAAAAGGAACAGAAAUUUGUCUGCUGAAGUCUGGCAAUAAGGAUAAAGCAAUGCUGCAACUUUCUUUGUGGUACGACUGUUUGUGGUCAUUAUGCAUUUUAAACUCAUAUAGAUUUAUGUUAUUGAACUUCAUAGUUGUAUAUAGGACAUGUUAAAACACCAAAUUUGAUCCCACCUUUGAAUUUGCACUGAAGUUAGUUGAAAGUUUUUUAUCUUAUUGUCAAGAAUUCGAAACCUAAAUAAAAUCGAGUUAACAUGCAUCUUUUAUUGUGAUGGCUAUACAUCAAUCAACUUCGGAGCAAUUGGAAAGAUCUUUGACACACCUUAGAUAUCAUGGUUCAUCUCUCACAAGCACACAGAACGAUUGAGCACACAUACAACUGCCCUAGACUCUUCCUCACCUUUAUGCUUGCAAAAUUACAAUCCUAUGGCUUUCCUAUAUGCUCAAGUUUUCUAUGAAAUUCUAUGUGAGAUAUUUUGCAUUCAGAUAGCUUAUUAUGAGCCUCACGGUGCAUGUUUUGAACUACAGGUACCAUGCCAAUUCCUCUUCUGCAUUUAGGCAAGGGUUCCGUCUUGCAAAUAAACAAACUUCAGUCAAAGGUUUACUUGCAAAUAAACAAACUUCAGUUUUCCGCUUGUGUUAUGUGGUAUCCAUGAGUUCUUGGCUUCAGUUGACAUGUUCUUAUAAUAACUUGGUGGUGUUAUUUCAUUUAAACUAUCGACCGCCCAAAUGAUGUCAAAGCUGAACCUUCCACAAGGAGCUCACCAAUGACAUUAUUCCUUAACGCAAUAGACCAAGGCAAGGAAAUCGAACCAAGUGAAAGAAUCAAGAUGAUAGUCCUAUUCUACUGUGUUUUUAGGCUAUGGUUAUUACCAAGUGGCCUCAUGCUUUAAAUUAAAUUGUACUGUUUCAUUUAUGUUUCAUGGUAUUUCAUGGUGUGUGUAAUGAAAUAUGUGACAAGAUACAAACUUACUUGCUAAUAUGCAUGUUAAUACACCA
Long non-coding RNA from Lolium rigidum, 2927 nucleotides. RefSeq lists it as uncharacterized. The transcript has 4 exons. NCBI's taxonomy places the organism in Eukaryota, Viridiplantae, Streptophyta, Magnoliopsida, Poales, Poaceae. The record is from RefSeq and is a predicted model, not a curated record.